This 24-nucleotide non-coding RNA is filed under the name Arabidopsis thaliana (thale cress). The record is from RNAcentral. Lineage: Eukaryota; Viridiplantae; Streptophyta; Magnoliopsida; Brassicales; Brassicaceae.
CAUCUGUCCCACACUUUGUACUGC